This 90-nucleotide transfer RNA is filed under the name Deltaproteobacteria bacterium. RNAcentral's name for it is "tRNA-Ser". It matches the Rfam family "tRNA". From Rfam's summary of the family: Transfer RNA (tRNA) molecules are approximately 80 nucleotides in length. Their secondary structure includes four short double-helical elements and three loops (D, anti-codon, and T loops). Further hydrogen bonds mediate the characteristic L-shaped molecular structure. tRNAs have two regions of fundamental functional importance: the anti-codon, which is responsible for specific mRNA codon recognition, and the 3' end, to which the tRNAs corresponding amino acid is attached (by aminoacyl-tRNA synthetases). tRNAs cope with the degeneracy of the genetic code in two manners: having more than one tRNA (with a specific anti-codon) for a particular amino acid; and 'wobble' base-pairing, i.e. permitting non-standard base-pairing at the 3rd anti-codon position. Lineage: Bacteria; Pseudomonadati; Myxococcota; Myxococcia. The record is from RNAcentral.
GGAGAGGUGGCCGAGCGGUUUAAGGUACUGGACUUGAAAUCCAGCGUAGGGGCAACUCUACCGUGGGUUCGAAUCCCACCCUCUCCGCCA